This 345-nucleotide unclassified non-coding RNA is filed under the name Hevea brasiliensis (rubber tree). The record is from RNAcentral. Lineage: Eukaryota; Viridiplantae; Streptophyta; Magnoliopsida; Malpighiales; Euphorbiaceae.
GGCCUGAAGAAGGUGGUGGUGUUACUGGUGGCGUUAUAAUUACAGGAGGAUUUGUUGCGGGAGGUGAUAUUACGGGGGGAGGAUUAAUGAUUAUUGGUGGUAGUACUACCGGUGGCAUUGGUGGAUUUUUUGAAGGUGGGCGGCCUCCAUAGUGUGGUGGGUGCUUGGUGGUUGGUGGGUUCGGGUGUGGAACUUUUGGGUGGGUUGGGCGGUGUGUUGGUGGAUGUGGCUGAGUACAAGGACCGCAAGCGUAAAUGGGUGGCAAUGAUAUCGCCAUGAAAAUAAUGAAGAUGAAGAACAUGGCUGCGACCAUGGAACCCAUGACUUCCCUUGGAAGUUGCUAAC